This 73-nucleotide transfer RNA is filed under the name Pseudokineococcus marinus. Its description in RNAcentral is "Kineococcus marinus tRNA". It matches the Rfam family "tRNA". From Rfam's summary of the family: Transfer RNA (tRNA) molecules are approximately 80 nucleotides in length. Their secondary structure includes four short double-helical elements and three loops (D, anti-codon, and T loops). Lineage: Bacteria; Bacillati; Actinomycetota; Actinomycetes; Kineosporiales; Kineosporiaceae. The record is from Rfam by way of RNAcentral. RNAcentral also lists the same sequence under 1 other name.
GGGCCCGUAGCUCAGCUGGUAGAGCGCCGCGCUUACACCGCGGACGUCGUCGGUUCGACCCCGGCCGGGCCCA